ACGAAUAACUAGAUGUGGUUGUAGCUGGCUUCUAGGAGCAUGUGCACGCCCGUCUUCUUAUCUUUCCACCUGUGCACCAAAUGUAGGCUUGGAUAACUCUCGCUCUCGGGCGGAUGCGAGGUUUGUCUUCGGACUCUCCUCGAAUUUCCAAGUCUAUGUCUUUCACAAACCCCAAUGAAAACGAAGAAUGUAGUCAAUGGGCUUUUAGCCUAUAAAACAAUAUA
RNAcentral lists this unclassified non-coding RNA (224 nucleotides) under uncultured Coprinus. RNAcentral's name for it is "sequence contains ITS1". Lineage: Eukaryota; Fungi; Basidiomycota; Agaricomycetes; Agaricales; Agaricaceae. The record is from RNAcentral.